CCUACGGGUGGCUGCAGUGAGGAAUAUUGGUCAAUGGCCGUAAGGCUGAACCAGCCAAGUAGCGUGAGGGAAGACUGCCCUAUGGGUGUUAAACCUCUUUUAUGCGGGGAUAGAGGUGUCCACGUGUGGAUGUUCGCAGUUACCUCAUGAAUAAGGACCGGCUAAUUCCGUGCCAUCAGCCGCGGUAAUACGGAAGGUCGGGUCGUUCUCCGGAUUUAUUGGGCUUAAAGGGAGCGGAGGGCGGCCUUUAAGUGUGCCGUGAAAUUUUAGGGCUCAACCAUGAGAGUGCGGCGCGAACUGGAGACCUUGAGUGCGCGGAAGGCAGGCGGAAUUCGUGGUGUAGCGGUGAAAUGCUUAGAUAUCACGAAGAACCCCGAUUGCGAGGGCAGCCUGCCGCAGCGUUACUGACGCUGAAGCUCGAAAGCGCGGGUAUCGAACAGGAUUAGAUACCCGGGUAGUC
This 460-nucleotide ribosomal RNA is filed under the name uncultured bacterium. RNAcentral describes it as "partial 16S ribosomal RNA". It matches the Rfam family "Bacterial small subunit ribosomal RNA", at positions 338 to 795 of the family's 1533-position model. The record is from RNAcentral.